RNAcentral lists this transfer RNA (65 nucleotides) under Leiodes picea. RNAcentral describes it as "tRNA-Gly". Lineage: Eukaryota; Metazoa; Arthropoda; Insecta; Coleoptera; Leiodidae. The record is from RNAcentral.
AUUUAUAUAAUAUAACAAAUUAUAUUUAACUUCCAAUUAAAAAAUCUAAGUACUUAGUAUAAAUA